AUACGGAGGAUCCGAGCGUUAUCCGGAUUUAUUGGGUUUAAAGGGUGCGCAGGCGGCCAUUUAAGUCAGCGGUUAAAUCGUGGGGCUCAACCCCAUUCUGCCGUUGAUACUGGGUGGCUUGAUUGCGGUCGAGGUUGGCGGAAUUCGUUGUGUAGCGGGGAAAUGCGUAGAUAUGACGAAGAACACCGAUUGCGUAGGCAGCUGACCAGACCGCAAAUGACGCUCAUGCACGAAAGUGCGGGGAUCGAACAGGAUUAGAUACCCUGGUAGUCCGCACAGUAAACGAUGAAUACUUGUUUUCGGCGAUAUAAUGUCGGAGGCAAAGCGAAAGCGAUAAGUAUUCCACCUGGGGAGUACGCCGGCAACGGUGAAACUCAAAUGAAUUGGCGGGG
Molecule: ribosomal RNA, 392 nt
Filed under: uncultured bacterium
Lineage: Bacteria
Description: partial 16S ribosomal RNA
Rfam family: Bacterial small subunit ribosomal RNA
Source: RNAcentral